CCUUGCAUGUCAACAUUUGAUGCAUAACAUGGAUGCUGUAUUUUCUCCAACAAGUUUUCAGAGUAUGUGGGUCGGUAACAUUAGGAACUGUUAUAAUCUUGGUCCUGCGCAAGCUUCGCCGGAAACCAAGAAUGUCUACGAUAGCAGAAGAAAUAGAAGCUCCAAAGAAUUUCCAAACCUAUGCAGUUAUUGUGAUCGAAUGAAAACCGAAUUCUGGCCAGAUUGGGAGGAGUGUAUAACUCAUGGUGGAACAAGAAAAGCAACGAAAUAAGUCAACCUUUCACAAAAUAGAAUUAUCAGUGCUUAUUGUCAUUACGAGAAUCAACGGAUUGUGUUGUAUUAUGUAAUAAUGCUUGUAUUUGCAAACUGUGCAGAAAGGUAUAUGAUCCUUGACGUUUGCAGAAAUAAUGUAUUAUAUUUAUGCUUUGUUUUUGUAUGCGUGCCUAUAUAUACGCAUCUAUUAAACGAAUUUAAUGCACCGUAGAGUUAAAUUAAGUCACCAUGGUUCAUAAUCAAUUGAAGUCGCAUACUACUUAAUGUUCUAUGUAUUUCUUACAUACC
Ostrea edulis (European flat oyster) is the source of this 561-nucleotide long non-coding RNA. RefSeq lists it as uncharacterized. The record is from RefSeq and is a predicted model, not a curated record. The transcript is spliced from 3 exons. Lineage: Eukaryota; Metazoa; Mollusca; Bivalvia; Ostreida; Ostreidae.